Molecule: microRNA precursor, 91 nt
Filed under: Xyrichtys novacula (pearly razorfish)
Lineage: Eukaryota; Metazoa; Chordata; Actinopteri; Labriformes; Labridae
Source: RNAcentral
GCACACACACACACACACACACGCUGAAUAAUCUGGGCGCUCAGACCUCUGAUUCUGGAGCCUGUGUGUGUGUGUGUGUGUGUGUGUGUGU